RNAcentral lists this ribosomal RNA (497 nucleotides) under uncultured bacterium. RNAcentral describes it as "partial 16S ribosomal RNA". It matches the Rfam family "Bacterial small subunit ribosomal RNA", at positions 28 to 507 of the family's 1533-position model. The record is from RNAcentral.
GAUGAACGCUGGCGGCGUGCCUAAUACAUGCAAGUCGAGCGAACAGACGAGGAGCUUGCUCCUCUGACGUUAGCGGCGGACGGGUGAGUAACACGUGGAUAACCUACCUAUAAGACUGGGAUAACUUCGGGAAACCGGAGCUAAUACCGGAUAAUAUAUUGAACCGCAUGGUUCAAUAGUGAAAGACGGUUUUGCUGUCACUUAUAGAUGGAUCCGCGCCGCAUUAGCUAGUUGGUAAGGUAACGGCUUACCAAGGCAACGAUGCGUAGCCGACCUGAGAGGGUGAUCGGCCACACUGGAACUGAGACACGGUCCAGACUCCUACGGGAGGCAGCAGUAGGGAAUCUUCCGCAAAGGGCGAAAGCGUGACGGAGCAACGCCGCGUGAGUGAUGAAGGUCUUCGGAUCGUAAAACUCUGUUAUUAGGGAAGAACAAAUGUGUAAGUAACUAUGCACGUCUUGACGGUACCUAAUCAGAAAGCCACGGCUAACUACGUG